RNAcentral lists this ribosomal RNA (663 nucleotides) under Triticum aestivum (bread wheat). Its description in RNAcentral is "partial small subunit ribosomal RNA". The record is from RNAcentral. Lineage: Eukaryota; Viridiplantae; Streptophyta; Magnoliopsida; Poales; Poaceae.
AUGUCAUCAGUAGGAUCAGGGGCUUCUUCUGCUGCCGCAACCGGAAGAACACGAAAAGAUCCAGCCUGGGAGCAUGCUUUACCAAUUAUUGAUGAAUUCAGAACCAAGAACAGAGUUGGAUGCAGAUACUGCUUGCACUUUUUUAAUGGUGGCAUUACCAGAUUUAAGAAGCACUUGGCUGGAAUAAAAAAAGAUUCUGUAUGUUGCCGACAGGUUCCUGAUCAUGUUAAAGAGCAGAUGCUUACAUUGAUAGCUGAGAAUGAGAAAAAGAGGGAUAAAUCACUGAAGAACAUGUUGGAGUUGCAAGAGGAGGUCAGAGAGAUGUAUGGUCAGAGUGGGAAUGAGGAUUCAGAUUGCGCAAUCGUUGAUUAUCUUGCUACUACAGCAAGUGGAAGCUCUCAAGUUCCUAAGAAGCCUCAGACCAAGGGUCCAAUGGAUAAGUAUCGAGCACGGCCAGGAUUGGGAAAGCAAACUACAGUGAAUGCACAUUACAAGGUCAAAGAAGCAAAGAUAACUUAUGAUUAUAUCUGUGACUUCUUUAUUGAGGGUGCCCUUGCUCAUAAUAUUGCUAGUCUUACAUCAUUUGCUCGAAUGGUAGAAGCAAUGGUUGUACUUUUGGUUAUUAGGCGAUGGUCUAAUGGAUCAUGGACUACGAAUGUUUAA